GAAGCUCAUGUCUGUGUAGUCUCUCAGCCAAGCAUGGAAGGAUCUCUCAGCUUCAUCCAGAGUCUUACACCCUCCUCUUUUUCCAAGCUGUGGAGAAAAAUUUCUGACCUGAGAUCACCUCAGCAGCACUCCCAGGACCCAUCCAGCCAUUUCCCCCAUCCCCAAAAUUUGCAGGAGGAAGGGUUAUUUCAAUAAAGCAAAAACCUGUUGCCUGAAGCAUAUAAAAAGAUUCUUCUCUUUCUCCUACCUCUACUUACAAAGUGACCCCUCCCUUCUACUCAGAAUGUCCCUACUGCCUAUUCAAGACAGGAUCUCGCUGCGUUGCUCAGACUGGUCUCGAACUCCUGGGCUUAAGGGAUUCUCCUGCCUCAAUCACAGCCUCCCAAGUAGCUGAGAUUAAAAGUGCUCACCACCGUGCCAGCGAGUUCAGUUUUUGAGGGUGGAGCCAAGACUCUGAGGAGAGGGCUGAACUGUGAACCUAGAAGUACCAUCUCCCCCUGCACACACCUUUGGUCAAGUUGACCCCAAGAAGAAGGACAAGUCCUCUGCACGGCGAUGAGGCCAUACACACAGUCUGUGGCCCGGCUUUGGGAGACUGAUGGGACAAAGGAUGUUUUGCACGAUCCUUGGUCUCUGAGCAAAUAUAUACAUGGGUUAACACAAA
RNAcentral lists this long non-coding RNA (664 nucleotides) under Homo sapiens (human). Its description in RNAcentral is "novel transcript". The record is from RNAcentral. Lineage: Eukaryota; Metazoa; Chordata; Mammalia; Primates; Hominidae.